GUGCACGCUGGCGGUAGGCCUAACCCAUGCAAGUCGCACGGCAGCACAGUAAGAGCUUGCUCUUACGGGUGGCGAGUGGCGGACGGGUGAGGAAUACAUCGGAAUCUACUUUUUCGUGGGGGAUAACGUAGGGAAACUUACGCUAAUACCGCAUACGACCUACGGGUGAAAGCAGGGGAUCUUCGGACCUUGCGCGAUUGAAUGAGCCGAUGUCGGAUUAGCUAGUUGGCGGGGUAAAGGCCCACCAAGGCGACGAUCCGUAGCUGGUCUGAGAGGAUGAUCAGCCACACUGGAACUGAGACGCGGUCCAGACUCCUACGGGAGGCAGCAGUGGGGAAUAUUGGACAAUGGGCGCAAGCCUGAUCCAGCCAUACCGCGUGGGUGAAGAAGGCCUUCGGGUUGUAAAGCCCUUUUGUUGGGAAAGAAAAGCAGCAGGUUAAUACCCCGCUGUUCUGACGGUACCCAAAGAAUAAGCACCGGCUAACUUCGUG
Molecule: ribosomal RNA, 491 nt
Filed under: uncultured bacterium
Lineage: Bacteria
Description: partial 16S ribosomal RNA
Rfam family: Bacterial small subunit ribosomal RNA
Source: RNAcentral